GAUGAAGAACGUAGCGAAAUGCGAUAAGUAAUGUGAAUUGCAGAAUUCAGUGAAUCAUCGAAUCUUUGAACGCACAUUGCGCCCGCCAGCACUCUGGCGGGCAUGCCUGUUCGAGCGUCAUUUCAACCAUCAAGCCCCCAGGGGCUUGUGCUGGGGCCCUGCGGCUGCCCGCAGGCCCUGAAAACCAGUGGCGGGCUCGCUAGUCACACCGAGCGCAGUAGCACAUCUCGCUCAGGGCGUGCGGCGGGCUCCUGCCGUGAAACCCCCCACUGUAACCCCAAAGGUUGACCUCGGAUCAGGUAGGAAUACCCGCUGAACUUAAGCAUAUCAAUAAGCGGAAGGA
This 343-nucleotide unclassified non-coding RNA is filed under the name soil metagenome. RNAcentral's name for it is "partial contains 5.8S ribosomal RNA, internal transcribed spacer 2, and large subunit ribosomal RNA". The stretch from base 1 to 120 matches the Rfam family "5.8S ribosomal RNA", at positions 35 to 154 of the family's 154-position model. The record is from RNAcentral.